AGCUCCAAUAGCGUAUAUUAAAGUUGUUGCAGUUAAAAAGCUCGUAGUUGGAUUUUGGGACGUUUCUGAUUGGUCCGCCGCAAGGCGAGUACUGGUCAGGGAUGCCUGUUAAAAAUUCCCUCUCUUUGCUGGAGAUUAAACACUUUAGCGUGGAAAAGGGCAGUUACCUUGAAAAAAUUAGAGUGCUCAAAGCAGGCCUAUGUUGCUUGAAUAUUAUUAGCAUGGAAUAACAGAAUAGGACUUUGGUUCUAUGUUUGUUGGUUUUAUUGGACCGAAGUAAUGAUUAAUAGGGAUAGUUGGGGGCAUUAGUAUUUAAUUGUCAGAGGUGAAAUUCUUGGAUUUAUGAAAGACUAACUUCUGCGAAAGCAUCUGCCAAGGAUGUUUUCA
This 387-nucleotide ribosomal RNA is filed under the name uncultured eukaryote. Its description in RNAcentral is "SSU rRNA". It matches the Rfam family "Eukaryotic small subunit ribosomal RNA", at positions 587 to 972 of the family's 1831-position model. The record is from RNAcentral.